ACGAACGCUGGCGGCGUGCUUAACACAUGCAAGUCGAACGGAAAGGCCCUGCUUUUGUGGGGUGCUCGAGUGGCGAACGGGUGAGUAACACGUGAGUAACCUGCCCUUGACUUUGGAUAACUUCAGGAAACUGGGGCUAAUAACGGAUAGGAGCUCCUGCUGCAUGGUGGGGGUUGGAAAGUUUCGGCGGUUGGGGAUGGACUCGCGGCUUAUCAGCUUGUUGGUGGGGUAGUGGCUUACCAAGGCUUUGACGGGUAGCCGGCCUGAGAGGGUGACCGGCCACAUUGGGACUGAGAUACGGCCCAGACUCCUACGGGAGGCAGCAGUGGGGAAUAUUGCACAAUGGGCGGAAGCCUGAUGCAGCAACGCCGCGUGCGGGAUGACGGCCUUCGGGUUGUAAACCGCUUUCGCCUGUGACGAAGCGUGAGUGACGGUAAUGGGUAAAGAAGCACCGGCUAACUACGUG
RNAcentral lists this ribosomal RNA (466 nucleotides) under uncultured bacterium. Its description in RNAcentral is "partial 16S ribosomal RNA". It matches the Rfam family "Bacterial small subunit ribosomal RNA", at positions 29 to 507 of the family's 1533-position model. The record is from RNAcentral.